Molecule: long non-coding RNA, 1935 nt
Organism: Mercenaria mercenaria
Lineage: Eukaryota; Metazoa; Mollusca; Bivalvia; Venerida; Veneridae
Exons: 3
Source: RefSeq, a predicted model, not a curated record
ACCAUCAAAUCCAAUAAGUUGAAAGUAAAAGCAAAGAAAAAUCAAAUCUUUGAGAAAAAAGUAAUCGAAUCCAAUAUAUCCUUUCUGUUACGCCCAAGAGUUCACGUGACUGUGAUGAGAUCAGUUGAAAGAAUUUGAUAAUAAUAUAAAAUGAUAUCUGUUAGUAAUUUUCAAGUGUAUUCACGAGCUGCUAAAGUGUUACUUUGAUAUAUACUUAGAUAAUUUUGCAUUCCUUUUUGUGUUUAUGAUGUUGAUUUUUAUGCUUUAUCGUAUUAUGAACGACUUGUUUAUGAUCAUGUUUCUCUUUCUAUUUUUAUCAGAAGUUGUUUACAACUUUCUUGUUUUUUUCUAACUUCAUCAAGAUUUUUUUCAAGUCACGUGCUGUGGUAAAAUUACAAGCCGAUUAAGUGAUAUUUCUCAAUUUCGCAAUGUCUGCAGGCGUAAUCUUAUUCAUCACCUGUGAUUGAACAAUUUACUUGAAAUUAGUCGAUCAGACAAAAUAAAAUAAGUUAGUCAGCGCUGUAAUCAGGACGUCUUCAAAGGUCUUCUGGUGCAUGUAGCAGACGACAACUGGAAAAGGUUGCAAAGUUCAAAUAUAGUGGGUCUUGAGUUCUGUAUAUUAAGUACUUGGAGAAAUAUUCAGAAUCGAACAACGUCGCUCAAUGCAAUGGCAAUGGCUUCCUGGCCGUCAAGUAACCUGUUGCAUGGGUUUUGCGUGCUUUUCGACGUUCUGCGUGCAUGUUAGAGCUAAUUUCCAAGAACAUGUGCAUUUCGAAAUGGCUGACUGGUUAUGCAACAUUUCUGUUUUUCUUUGAAGAAGGAAUACGAACAGUUAAGAGGAAAAGGUUUUGUUGCAGUUGAAAAACACGCACGUUUUGUUGCAUGGCAUGCAAUUGCAUCCCAAAGAUAUUUUUCGCAACGACUAGCCAUUCCUAAAAUUCUAAGAGCCAGGUCCCAGAAAAUGAAAUCACAUACGAUUAUUUAGACACACAUUAUCAAUAUUUUAUAUUAUAUCAUUUAGGAAUUACGAAAAUAAGUGAAUUUUCGUGUGUCAUUUAGCUUUUUUAUGAAACAUAAUAAAGAUACAGAAAGAAAUAUCUUGAAACUUGCUGCUCACCGUUAAGAUGUAAAAUUUUUACGUGAGAAGAAGUCAUCCAGCUGGCUCACGGAAAGUCGGAGGUUCCGCCCAGGUGCCUGUCCGAAAUAAUGCAUGAAGAGGCACCUUGGGUCUUUCUCCACCAUCAAAGCUGGGAAGUUGCCAUAUAAACUAUAAGUAUGUUGGUGUGACGUCAAACCAACAAAAAUUAUCUUAAUUUCUUUUUUUUUUUUUGGUCUUUAACAUGACUCUUCAUCGAGUAGAACAGUGUCUUCGGAAAACGCCAGUUACCGGUCAAAAUCUCUAGAUAACUAUAUGUAAAUUCAUUUAAAUGAUAAAAAUGACGCUUUACAAAUUCAAAGUUCAUGAUUACCGAAAUAAUUACGGACCUUUUAACGUGACGCGCCACAAGAUAUAGUGAAGUGUAGUUGCAUAGAGAGGACAUUGCCCUUUCUAGUUUAUAUUCAUAACGUUGCAAACUACAUGUCGGUGACUGACUCCAAAAUCUUCAAUUCCUUGCUUUAAUUAUAGUUACGGGGCCCAUAAAACAAUACGCUGAGACCAUUGGUAUGCCGCAACAUCUGCUCGUUAAUACUAAGUAAUGAGUAUAUAUUAUUAUUUCUACGUUUAUACUGAGUAGGCUUGAAUGGCAGAAUAUGAAUAAAAAGACAAAGAGCUUAAUAAAACAGUAACAUAUUGCAGCAUUGACCUUUCCGUCAGGUAGGAAGAACAGUUUUUCUUACAUUACUUAACUACAAGAUAUUAACCUGAACUGAAGCACACGGCUCCGUCAUUGGCAAGAUGGAUGCAAUGAGGAUUAUGUUAAUCGACGAUAUCUG